ACGGAGGGUGCAAGCGUUAUCCGGAUUCACUGGGUUUAAAGGGUGCGUAGGCGGGCAGGUAAGUCAGUGGUGAAAUCUCAGAGCUUAACUCUGAAACUGCCAUUGAUACUAUCUGUCUUGAAUUCUCUGGAGGUGAGCGGAAUAUGUCAUGUAGCGGUGAAAUGCUUAGAUAUGACAUAGAACACCCAUUGCGAAGGCAGCUCACUACGGAGUCAUUGACGCUGAGGCACGAAAGCGUGAGGAUCAAACAGGA
This 253-nucleotide ribosomal RNA is filed under the name uncultured prokaryote. Its description in RNAcentral is "partial 16S ribosomal RNA". It matches the Rfam family "Bacterial small subunit ribosomal RNA", at positions 525 to 777 of the family's 1533-position model. The record is from RNAcentral.